AGUGAACGCUGGCGGUAUGCCUAACACAUGCAAGUCGAACGGCAGCACAGUAAGAGCUUGCUCUUACGGGUGGCGAGUGGCGGACGGGUGAGGAAUACAUCGGAAUCUACUUUUUCGUGGGGGAUAACGUAGGGAAACUUACGCUAAUACCGCAUACGACCUACGGGUGAAAGCAGGGGAUCUUCGGACCUUGCGCGAUUGAAUGAGCCGAUGUCGGAUUAGCUAGUUGGCGGGGUAAAGGCCCACCAAGGCAACGAUCCGUAGCCGGUCUGAGAGGAUGAUCGGCCACACUGGAACUGAGAACCGGUCCAGACUCCUACGGGAGGCAGCAGGGGGGAAUUUUGGGAAAUGGGCGAAAGCCUGACCCAGCAACGCCGCGUGGGUGAAGAAGGCCUUCGGGUUGUAAAACCCUUUUGUUGGGAAAGAAAAGAGGCGUAUUAAACCCCGCCUUUUUUGACGGUACCCAAAAAAAAAGCAACGGCUAACUACGU
Molecule: ribosomal RNA, 491 nt
Filed under: uncultured bacterium
Lineage: Bacteria
Description: partial 16S ribosomal RNA
Rfam family: Bacterial small subunit ribosomal RNA
Source: RNAcentral